This 274-nucleotide ribosomal RNA is filed under the name uncultured bacterium. Its description in RNAcentral is "partial 16S ribosomal RNA". It matches the Rfam family "Bacterial small subunit ribosomal RNA", at positions 523 to 796 of the family's 1533-position model. The record is from RNAcentral.
AUACGGAGGGUCCGAGCGUUAAUCGGAAUUACUGGGCGUAAAGCGUACGUAGGUGGCUUGAUUAGUCGGAUGUGAAAGCCCCGGGCUCAACCUGGGAACUGCAUUCCAAACUGCAGGACUAGAGUAUGGUAGAGGGAGGUAGAAUUUCCUGUGUAGCGGUGAAAUGCGUAGAUAUAGGAAGGAAUACCGAUGGCGAAGGCAGCCUCCUGGACCAAUACUGACGCUGAGGUGCGAAAGCGUGGGGAGCAAACAGGAUUAGAAACCCGGGUAGUCC